AAAGUAGGCUCAGGUAUCCCUUGGAUCGCUUGAAAGUGACUGGACUUCUCUAAGAAUCCUAUAAACCUAAGGCAUCUGAAUCUAGUGUGUGCAAGACCCACUUAUUUGCAGAUUUAAUACUCAAAGGAUUGGAUGAAUUCACAGUGCCUUUAGAAAGUGAAAGGAAAAGUUGAAGAUCACUGAAUAUAUUAGCUUUAGAAUCAGCAAAGAGGAAAGAGAACACAGACUCUGUGGACAGCAGAAAACCUGGCUUUGAGAUGGAUUUUCCAUGGUGAGAGUUACAGAGCUGCACCCAGGGCUUGUCAUGGCUCCUCUGGUCCCAUGAUAGUGAGAUGCAAAAUAUGCUGGGAACUCAUGCAAAGUGUUCCUUACUGAUGACAAGAGACACAUGAGAGGAAACAAGAUUCCUCUGGAUCUUGCUGUCUGCAUUUGAGCGUGGGCACAAUGGCAGCCAUCUUGGGGCCAUGAGAAAAUUCAGCCAAAAGACAAGUCAAUGCCUUACAGGGGGGAGAUGGAGAGAAACUGAGACCUUGAUAAUAU
Molecule: long non-coding RNA, 540 nt
Organism: Canis lupus familiaris (dog)
Lineage: Eukaryota; Metazoa; Chordata; Mammalia; Carnivora; Canidae
Exons: 3
Source: RefSeq, a predicted model, not a curated record